Mycena vulgaris is the source of this 97-nucleotide non-coding RNA. Lineage: Eukaryota; Fungi; Basidiomycota; Agaricomycetes; Agaricales; Mycenaceae. The record is from the annotation of a GenBank genome assembly.
GACCUGAUAGCAUAAUUGGAUAGUGCACCUGCUGAAUAUAGAUUUAGAUAAAAAAAGAUUGAAGCGGGGGAUCCCCGUUCGAUUCGGGGUCAGGUCA